RNAcentral lists this transfer RNA (73 nucleotides) under Bradyrhizobium pachyrhizi. RNAcentral describes it as "tRNA-Trp". Lineage: Bacteria; Pseudomonadati; Pseudomonadota; Alphaproteobacteria; Hyphomicrobiales; Nitrobacteraceae. The record is from RNAcentral.
AUCGGUGAGCCGGCGGCGGUGGCCUGGUCUCCAAAACCAAGGUCUGAGGGUUCGACUCCCUACACCGGUGCCA